This is a long non-coding RNA of Vitis riparia (riverbank grape), 363 nucleotides long. RefSeq lists it as uncharacterized. The record is from RefSeq and is a predicted model, not a curated record. Lineage: Eukaryota; Viridiplantae; Streptophyta; Magnoliopsida; Vitales; Vitaceae. The transcript is spliced from 2 exons.
AUGUUCCAUCACCAUCAUAGCCACCAUUGUUGCAGCCCACAACCUUGGUACCUCCUGCAUUACCCAUUGAAUUUUGUUGGACUGACAUCAACACCACCAUCUCCAUGGUUGCCACUUCGUUCUUCAUCUUAGGGCUUCAAGAGACGUAGGUAUCUAAGAAAUACAUCAAGAAAAAGACAAUGAUGCAGAAACAAAGAUCACCUCUUAUGAAGAUAAUGUUGUACUUUUCAAUUUAAGUUUGUAUAUUAUUUUAAUUGAAUGUUUUUAGCUAGGUUUUGUUUGUAUAUAGAAAAUAGAGAGGUACUUGAAAAACAUUUAUGGAAUUGUGUUCUUAAUAUUUAAUGUAUAUGUAAUGAUUUUUUU